UUGAAAACUUGGAGCACAGGUUCACUUUGGUGCAAAUUUAAGUGAUAUCUACCGAGGCGACAUGGAAGCACUCGACACCAAGACAGGCUUAUCUUGGAGGCACUCAUCCAAGACAGGUAUGACGUGGAAGCGCUUAACAACAAGACAUACAUGACGUGGAGGUCCUUAAUACCAAGACAGGUAUGAUGCGGAGGCAUUCAACGCCAAAACAGAGUUACCUCGUAAAAUGGCAACUGUACAAGAAAGGGCUCAAUGAAUCGUUUAGCAUGAAGAUACCAAGUCAGUGACUGUGGUGCAGUGUAAUUACAGACGCCAGUACAGGAACAAAGUAUGGGGUAUGUUAAGGAUAUCGUGUGUUGC
This is a long non-coding RNA of Limulus polyphemus (Atlantic horseshoe crab), 360 nucleotides long. RefSeq lists it as uncharacterized. The transcript has 3 exons. The record is from RefSeq and is a predicted model, not a curated record. Lineage: Eukaryota; Metazoa; Arthropoda; Merostomata; Xiphosura; Limulidae.